RNAcentral lists this unclassified non-coding RNA (324 nucleotides) under plant metagenome. Its description in RNAcentral is "partial contains small subunit ribosomal RNA, internal transcribed spacer 1, and 5.8S ribosomal RNA". The record is from RNAcentral.
UUUCCGUAGGUGAACCUGCGGAAGGAUCAUUAUUGAAUAAACAGUGUGGGUUGUUGCUGGCCUUCUGGCAUGUGCACGCCUGCCAUAUGUUUCAUUCCCUUCUUUCCACCUGUGCACUAUGUGUAGGCUAUGUAUGCUGUAUUGUCAGGCCCUUCAUAAGGCUUGGUUUAGAGAGGAUGCUUGUCUUUAUGAGACAGGCUCAUCUUGGGCGUACAGGUCUAUGUUUUACACCAACACCAAAUGAAUGUCUUAGAAUGUAUUUUUUCAGGCUCUUGCGAGCCUUUAAACCAUAUACAACUUUCAACAACGGAUCUCUUGGCUCUC